GAGGGUCUAGCUCAGAGGUGGAGUGUUUGCCUAGCAUGCAUGAGGUUCUGGGCUCAAUCCCCAGGACCUCCA
RNAcentral lists this transfer RNA (72 nucleotides) under Camelus bactrianus (Bactrian camel). It matches the Rfam family "tRNA". Rfam says of the family: Transfer RNA (tRNA) molecules are approximately 80 nucleotides in length. Their secondary structure includes four short double-helical elements and three loops (D, anti-codon, and T loops). Lineage: Eukaryota; Metazoa; Chordata; Mammalia; Artiodactyla; Camelidae. The record is from Rfam by way of RNAcentral. RNAcentral also lists the same sequence under 1 other name.